AACACGUAUGCAACCUGCCUUCAACAAGGGGAUAACCCGUUGAAAGACGGACUAAUACCCUAUAAUACAGGGGUCCCGCAUGGGGAUAUUUGUUAAAGAUUAAUCGGUUGAAGAUGGGCAUGCGUUCCAUUAGCUAGUUGGUGGGGUAACGGCCCCCCAAGGCAACGAUGGAUAGGGGAACUGAGAGGUUUAUCCCCCACACUGGUACUGAGACACGGACCAGACUCCUACGGGAGGCAGCAGUGAGGAAUAUUGGUCAAUGGACGCAAGUCUGAACCAGCCACGUCGCGUGAAGGAAGACGGCCCUACGGGUUGUAAACUUCUUUUGCAAGGGAAUAAAGUGGGCCACGCGUGGCCUUUUGCAUGUACCUUGCGAAUAAGGAUCGGCUAACUCCGUGCCAGCAGCCGCGGUAAUACGGAGGAUCCGAGCGUUAUCCGGAUUUAUUGGGUUUAAAGGGUGCUCAGGCGGGGGAUUAAGUCGGCGGUGAAAUUUUGCGGCUCAACCGUAAAAGUGCCUUCGAAACUGGUUUCCUUGAGUGUGGAUGAGGUAGGCGGAAUUUGUGGUGUAGCGGUGAAAUGCAUAGAUAUCACGAGGAACUCCGAUUGCGCAGGCAGCUUACCAGGCCAUAACUGACGCUCAAGCACGAAGGCGUGGGGAUCAAACAGGAUUAGAUACCCUGGUAGUCCACGCAGUAAACGAUGAUUACUGGCUGUUUGCGAUACAAUGUAAGCGGCUGAGCGAAAGCGUUAAGUAAUCCACCUGGGGAGUACGUUCGCAAGAAUGAAACUCAAAGGAAUUGACGGGGGCCCGCACAAGCGGAGGAACAUGUGGUUUAAUUCGAUGAUACGCGAGGAACCUUACC
RNAcentral lists this ribosomal RNA (863 nucleotides) under uncultured bacterium. Its description in RNAcentral is "bacterial SSU rRNA". It matches the Rfam family "Bacterial small subunit ribosomal RNA", at positions 112 to 975 of the family's 1533-position model. The record is from RNAcentral.